This 1220-nucleotide long non-coding RNA is filed under the name Equus asinus (donkey). RNAcentral's name for it is "lncRNA (ENSEASG00005025874.1)". The record is from RNAcentral. Lineage: Eukaryota; Metazoa; Chordata; Mammalia; Perissodactyla; Equidae.
GAAAAGCAGGUUUCAGUUAGGAAGGAUGUCAGUUCAAUUGCCCAAGUAAGUGGAUUUUUCUCUCCCAGCUCAUCAAAACCUGUUCCUUUCUGCUCUUAAAGCAGGUGUGAGGACCACCUCCCGGAAUACCUUGAUAUACCCAUUCCACCUGCCAGGGAAAGUGCCCCAGUGAUUUUUUUCUUGGGCUGUGGUCUCUGUCUGUCAUCCUGGUCUCAUUUCAGCCUUGAGGAUGGGGCGCAUGAAGGCCUCCUGCCUGCAGAGGCGACUGCAGUCUUCCUGCAGUAUCUGAGCGGACUCUUGGCGGCCCUUCAACCCCAAUGUCCACACCCAGAGCCCCGUGAACAAUGGGGAGCAGAGAACUCAAACCUUUUGCCAGGACCCUUUCUAGCGCCUUGUGGCUGGAGGGGCCCAAGGGGGCGCAUGGCAGCCUCCAGGGGAUGCUGGACUCACCUGCUGACGGCUUCUUUGUCUUCCACUGUGCCUGCUCUCUGGGCUCUAGUCGGCCCAGGUCCUGGCUGGGGCAGCCAGCACCCCUUGUGCCCCUGGCCAGGCUUGCGCACUCCCUGAACGCCUCCCGAGCCGAAGGACCCGCAGGGCUCUGGGCCGUCAGCGGGGCUGGGUUGCCCUGCUCCCGCUGCCCGCCUGCUGGCUAAUUCUGAUUAUUUCUCUUUCUCCUUGCUCUCUUGGGCGCCUUUAUUCCUGACCGUGCAUUUUCUCUGGGCUCGGGAUUAGAAAAAAACCCACACUGCUAAUAUCCUUGUCAGCCUUUUCCUGAAUCAUUGCCGCGCAGCUCCAGGGAGCCACGGGCCAGUGCCUUCUGGCCGGCAGACUCCAUCCCUGGGCCUUCCUGUCCUUGGGGUCCUGGAGCCCCUUCUCUGAGUCUCCUCAUCUCCUGAAGGCAACACCUAGAGUCCCAGAUCCUCUGAGAAACGCCCAGCCGGGGGAAGCAGAUGGGCCUGAGAACUGAGAGUCCAGCUGAGCUUUUCCAUCUCACAGAUGCGCAAUCCGAACCUCAGAGGGCCUGGUGAUUUGCUCAAGGUCACACAGCUACCAAGGGUCAGGACUCCAGUCUCCAAGUGCGUAACUCAGCCUCAAAGCCAUCUCUUGUGGAAGUACCGCCUUCUUAUAGGAGGCAGAUUUAGAAGGCAGAAGAAAGGGGAGCUUUUCCAUGAACUCACCAGGGGCCAUCAGCCGCACACAGUCAGGGCAGAGGAAGGAGA